Phalacrocorax carbo (great cormorant) is the source of this 429-nucleotide non-coding RNA. The record is from RefSeq and is a predicted model, not a curated record. Lineage: Eukaryota; Metazoa; Chordata; Aves; Suliformes; Phalacrocoracidae.
AGUAAUUCCUGUUGGGUUUUGUGGGCCCCCAGGGAACAACCGUAGGUGUCUGGGAGAGGGAGCUAGAGUUCUAGCUGAGCAGAUAGCAUGUCAAGGGUGUUCCGGCUUGUCUGUGAGCUGGGCUUGAUGUUUGAUGUAUUGUGCUCAUGUUUAAGAGCAGCCCUAGUUGUGCUCUCAAGGGGUGUUCCUACAUGCGAUCGAGACCUGUGUUGUGGUUCAGCUGUCGCCGUGCACGCAGGUGACUUGUUUGGUAUUGGUUUGGCAGAUGCCGAGGGAGGAGUCGUGCAGGGUGAUGGAGGACGGCGCUGUCAGCAGGAGCCGAGCGGGAUCUGGGCACCGGAGGGGAAUCGCACAGGGUGGUGGGCGAGCCUCAAGAUGGCAACGGGAUCUGAUGGAGGCCAGGCAGGUGAGCUGUCAAGAAAAAGGUGC